This is a ribosomal RNA of Macaca nemestrina (pig-tailed macaque), 100 nucleotides long. The record is from Ensembl. NCBI's taxonomy places the organism in Eukaryota, Metazoa, Chordata, Mammalia, Primates, Cercopithecidae.
AGCUACAGUCAUACCACCCUAAACCUGGAAGCUAAGUAGAGUCAGGCCUGGCCAGCAUUUGUAUGGAAGACUGCCUGGGAAUACUGGGAGCUGUUGGCUU